GUGCCAGCAGCCGCGGUAAUACGGAGGAGGCAAGCGUUAUCCGGAAUUAUUGGGCGUAAAGCGUCCGUAGGUGGUUUUACAAGUCUGCUUUUAAAGCGCGAGGCUUAACUUCGUAAGGGGAGUGGAAACUGUAAGACUAGAGUGCGGUAGGGGUAGAGGGAAUUCCCAGUGUAGCGGUGAAAUGCGUAGAUAUUGGGAAGAACAUCGGUGGCGAAAGCGCUCUGCUGGGCCUGCACUGACACUGAGGGACGAAAGCUAGGGGAGCGAAAGGGAUUAGAUACCCCUGUAGUCCUAGCUGUAAACGAUGGAGACUAGGCGUUGUCCGUAUCGACCCGGGCAGUGCCGUAGCUAACGCGUUAAGUCUCCCGCCUGGGGAGUACGCUCGCAAGAGUGAAACUCAAAGGAAUUGACGG
RNAcentral lists this ribosomal RNA (413 nucleotides) under uncultured bacterium. Its description in RNAcentral is "bacterial SSU rRNA". It matches the Rfam family "Bacterial small subunit ribosomal RNA", at positions 505 to 916 of the family's 1533-position model. The record is from RNAcentral.